GAUUAUACAUUUAUAAAGUCCUUCUUCACCCAGUAGAGAUGGGAGACACUCUGGAGUUUAAUAACAUUCAUACGGAGGUGAAGGGGUCUUGGAAUGACGGCCGGCUG
Cyprinus carpio (common carp) is the source of this 107-nucleotide long non-coding RNA. RefSeq lists it as uncharacterized. The record is from RefSeq and is a predicted model, not a curated record. Lineage: Eukaryota; Metazoa; Chordata; Actinopteri; Cypriniformes; Cyprinidae. The transcript has 3 exons.